RNAcentral lists this ribosomal RNA (254 nucleotides) under uncultured bacterium. RNAcentral's name for it is "partial 16S ribosomal RNA". It matches the Rfam family "Bacterial small subunit ribosomal RNA", at positions 524 to 776 of the family's 1533-position model. The record is from RNAcentral.
UACGGGGGGAGCAAGCGUUGUUCGGAUUUACUGGGCGUAAAGGGCGCGUAGGCGGCCACCGCAAGUCGGUUGUGAAAUCUCUGGGCUUAACCCAGAAAGGUCAACCGAUACUGCGGGGCUAGAGUGCAGAAGGGGCAACUGGAAUUCUCGGUGUAGCGGUGAAAUGCGUAGAUAUCGAGAGGGACACCUGCGGCGAAGGCGGGUUGCUGGGCUGACACUGACGCUGAAGCGCGAAAGCUAGGGGAGCGAACGGG